RNAcentral lists this ribosomal RNA (470 nucleotides) under uncultured bacterium. RNAcentral's name for it is "partial 16S ribosomal RNA". It matches the Rfam family "Bacterial small subunit ribosomal RNA", at positions 28 to 507 of the family's 1533-position model. The record is from RNAcentral.
GACGAACGCUGGCGGCGUGCUUAACACAUGCAAGUCGAACGGUGAACGAGGGAGCUUGCUCCCUCCGGAUCAGUGGCGAACGGGUGAGUAACACGUGAGCAAUCUGCCCCGAACUCUGGGAUAAGCGUUGGAAACGACGUCUAAUACCGGAUACGACUCGGGAGGGCAUCCUCUCCGCGUGGAAAGAACUUCGGUUCGGGAUGAGCUCGCGGCCUAUCGGCUUGUUGGGGCGGUAACGGCUCACCAAGGCGACGACGGGUAGCCGGCCUGAGAGGGUGACCGGCCACACUGGGACUGAGAAACGGCCCAGACUCCUACGGGAGGCAGCAGUGGGGAAUAUUGCACGAUGGGCGCAAGCCUGAUGCAGCAACGCCGCGUGAGGGACGACGGCCUUCGGGUUGUAAACCUCUUUUAGCAGGGAAGAAGCGAAAGUGACGGUACCUGCAGAAAAAGCACCGGCUAACUACGUG